AAACAACUCUCGGCAACGGAUAUCUCGGCUCUCGCAUCGAUGAAGGACGUAGCGAAAUGCGAUACUUGGUGUGAAUUGCAGAAUCCCGUGAACCAUCGAGUCUUUGAACGCAAGUUGCGCCCCAAGCCUUCUGGCCGAGGGCACGUCUGCCUGGGUGUCACAA
This 163-nucleotide ribosomal RNA is filed under the name Brassica oleracea var. capitata (cabbage). RNAcentral's name for it is "5.8S ribosomal RNA". It matches the Rfam family "5.8S ribosomal RNA". Rfam says of the family: 5.8S ribosomal RNA (5.8S rRNA) is a component of the large subunit of the eukaryotic ribosome. It is transcribed by RNA polymerase I as part of the 45S precursor that also contains 18S and 28S rRNA. Functionally, it is thought that 5.8S rRNA may be involved in ribosome translocation. The record is from RNAcentral. Lineage: Eukaryota; Viridiplantae; Streptophyta; Magnoliopsida; Brassicales; Brassicaceae.